RNAcentral lists this long non-coding RNA (214 nucleotides) under Lathyrus oleraceus (garden pea). RNAcentral describes it as "Pisum sativum (pea) long non-coding RNA (PSAT_LNC026591)". The record is from RNAcentral. Lineage: Eukaryota; Viridiplantae; Streptophyta; Magnoliopsida; Fabales; Fabaceae.
AAAAAUGAUCAAAAAUAAAAUGGAAAAUGAGAAUUAAAUGAAAAAUAAAGAAAAAUAUCAAUUAAAUGCAAAAAUGAUUUUAAAAAUUAUGAAAAAAAUAUAUGUGAUGCAAAAUAUUUUUUAAGGAUUUAAAAAAUUGGAGAAAAAAAAGAAUUAAGGACCAAUCAGAAUUAAAUAAGAAAUCAAAAAGGAAAUAAAAAUGAAAAAAUUAAAA